RNAcentral lists this ribosomal RNA (440 nucleotides) under uncultured bacterium. RNAcentral describes it as "partial 16S ribosomal RNA". It matches the Rfam family "Bacterial small subunit ribosomal RNA", at positions 338 to 795 of the family's 1533-position model. The record is from RNAcentral.
CCUACGGGAGACAGCAGUGGGGAAUAUUGCACAAUGGUCGAAACCCUGAUCCAGCGACGCCGCGUGAGUGAAGAAGUAUCUCGGUACGUAAAGCUCUAUCAGCAGGGAAGAAAAUGACGGUACCUGACUAAGAAGCACCGUCUAACUACGAGCCAGCAGCCGCAGUAAUACGGAGGGAGCAAGCGGUAUCCGGAUUUACUGGGUGUAAAGGGGGCGUAGACGGCAGCACAAGUCUGGAGUGAAAUCCCGGGGCUUAACCCCGGAACUGCCUUGGAAACGGGGAGGCUGGAGUGGGGGAGGGGUAAGCGGAAUUCGGAGUGUAGCGGUGAAAUGCAGAGAUAUCAGGAGGAACACCGGUGGCGAAGGCGGCUUACUGGACUCUAACUGACGUUGAGGCUCGAAAGCGUGGGUAGCAAACAGGAUUAGAUACCCUGGUAGUC